Molecule: non-coding RNA, 1590 nt
Organism: Microcebus murinus (gray mouse lemur)
Lineage: Eukaryota; Metazoa; Chordata; Mammalia; Primates; Cheirogaleidae
Source: RefSeq, a predicted model, not a curated record
UGCGGAGAGGGAGGACAGCAGGCCGGGGAACUGGGCGAACUCCGCCGCACUUCCGUGCGUCCGGGCUGGGCAGGAGCGGCCGGCUCCGCCCCCCGCGGGCCUGGGGCGCCGGGGCGGGCCCCCGCCUCCUCCUCCGCGCUCCUUCCGUCUGGCGGGCGCCUGGCUUGCUCGCGGCCAGUCGGCAGGCGAGAGGGAGGAGACGGCCCGCGGGCACGGGGCCCGAGAGCCUCCGGGACUUGUCCCUGAGACCGCCGCCCCCUCCACGCCAAAGCCUGUCCGCGCUCGCCGGGAGACACCUCACGCCCCCAGGGGUAGGAGCGCCGCGCGGGGGAGCUCGCCAGCCGCCGCCGCCUCUUUUCCUGGACUGCGCCACCCUCCUGCCUGUUCCGUGACGCAGGUGGAGUGAAACUCCGAAAGUUUGCAAAGCGCGGGGCUGCAAGCGGGGCGCCAGAGCCACGGACGGGCGUGGGGCGCGGUGCGUGGAGAGACGCGCCAGCCGGAGGGGAGCGCAGCAGCGGACGCCCCAUUCCCACCUUCUACCCACCACUACUGCUCCGCCGGGACGGGGUCGUGGCGCGGCUCUGGAUCGUACUGCGCCGCGGUAGUGCAGCCUGCGCGUCCCGGGAGUCUGUCCUGGGAUACCAGCCGCCUAGCCACACAGCACCAGGAGCGCCACUGCCCUGGGCGACUUCCUUCAGGGGGAAGGAAUCCUAUAUCUGCAGCGACAAGAAACAAACCUAAGCACGACCCGGUUCGUGUUGCUUUGCGCAGCGGGCGCGUUCUAGAUGUUCUGUCCUGGUCAGCAACAGCAAGGAGAAAGAGGCGGCCCAGUAGAUGAGAUUCCAGAAGAAGCAGGUGGGGCCUUGACUGUCGGUCAGCAUAUCUGGAACACUUUGGGCCCUGAUUCUGCCACGCACUGUGCUGGGCACUGGGGAGUAUGGCACAGUAAGGCAGGAGGGGUUACAGUUCACCGUCCUUAAUCUGUCUAUUCUGUCUCAUUGUCAGUCAUGCACUCAAGAAGCGUUAACUGAGUACCUACUCUGUACCAGCCCCUGGACUACAAAGCCAAAUAAGACAUUAUCAUUACCUUCCAGAAGCUCAGAAGUGUUGUCCCAACUAGACAGAUGACCUCUGCCCAGAGUGACCAGUGCCAUGAAAAGUGCAUGUGAGGGCACCUGCCCCAGCCUGGGUGGAGCAAGGAUCAAGGAAGGCUUCCUGGAGGAACAGGUGCCUAAGGAACAUCAUCCAUCCCUCAUUCAGGCAUCCAGUAUCCAUCUUUUAGGAAAUGAGUCAGCAGGGGAGAACCGUGGGCACUGGUGUGCAGGCUGACCCUGAUUGUCAAGGCAGCCUGGGGAACACACUGAAUUAUCACUGCAGGAAUGCAGAUUUCCAGACGGCUCCCCUGUAGAUCCCAUUCCGUGCGUCUGGGAAGAGGCCUGGCAAUCAGCAUGUCACGGGUUCGGUGCCGCCCAGUGCUACUCGGCAAAGAGAAACCCUUCCCCGCCUGGCAAAGGACCUGACGCUGGCGGGCAUCGGGAACUACGCGGUCAGCCCGGGACACCGGCUCUGGGAAGCGCCCCACGGGGUGGU